AUGGCCAAGACCUGCAAAACACACCCGCUAAUAAAAAUUAUUAAUUACUCAUUCAUUGAUCUUCCCACACCAUCUAACAUUUCUAUAUGAUGAAACUUUGGCUCACUUCUUGGUGCCUGCCUAAUCCUCCAGAUCAUUACACGAUUACUCUUGGCCAUGCAGUACACAUCAGACACUUCAACUGCCUUCUCUUCAGUUGCUCAUAUCAGCUGAGAUGUAAACUACAGCUGAAUGGUCUGCUAUUUUCAUGCUUCCUUGGUCUCACUA
This 267-nucleotide long non-coding RNA is filed under the name Homo sapiens (human). Its description in RNAcentral is "non-protein coding lnc-PBK-2:1". Lineage: Eukaryota; Metazoa; Chordata; Mammalia; Primates; Hominidae. The record is from RNAcentral.